Molecule: long non-coding RNA, 1047 nt
Organism: Schistocerca americana (American grasshopper)
Lineage: Eukaryota; Metazoa; Arthropoda; Insecta; Orthoptera; Acrididae
Exons: 3
Source: RefSeq, a predicted model, not a curated record
UUGGUGUAUAGUACUGGCGUUAGAAAAUCAUUGCUUUCUGGUUGUGAUUUGUUUUAAAAGUCUUAUUGAGCGAUCGCGAAUCAUGCCCAGUGUAUGUGCAAUGUACAAUUGGGCUAAUAGAAGUGAUAAAACAACUGGAAUAUCAUAUUUCAGAUUUCCUCUGAAAAAGAAAGAGCUGUUAAGUCGGUGGGUAGCCAAUAUGAGGCGAGAUAAGUGGCAGCCAACUCAAUAUAGCUACAUAUGCUCACUUCACUUUGAAGAUAGAUACAUGUAUAGUACAAAUGAGAAAACUGGCAAACGCAGUACCGAUAAUAUUUACGUUUCCUGACCAUCUGCAGAAAACAACCAUAGUAUAGAGACAACCAAGGAAACGGCCUGUCAGUGAAGAAUCAGCUUCCUUAUCAAAAGAACCAGGUGAAAGAGUGAAUCAGAAUGAUCAUCCAGAUCAUUCUUAUUGUUUGCCUAGCCCCAAAAAAUUGAAACAGAAUUAUGAGGCACUACAGAAAAGAACCGAGAAACUGAGGAAGCAAGCGAAACAUGCAAGGCAAAGUGUUUCAAGAAAGAAGAAACAAAUUGUGACAUAUAAAACAGUGGUUGUAAGUCUAAAUAAGAGACUUCAAAACUGUGUUUCUGAAGUGAUAGGAUGUGGCAAAAAUAGUGAUAUUCUGAAGCAACUUUUUGCAAUGUAAAACAAAUGUUCACUUCCUGAAUAUCCUAAAGAAAUAAGACAGUUUGCCCUUACACUCAAUUUUUACUCCUCCAAAGCUUAUAAUUAUUUGAGGAAGUUUGUUAAAUUACCCCAUCCUCGAACACUCCACAGGUGGGCAACUACAGUAAAUGGCACCCCUAGAUUUAUAGAAGAAAGCUUAAAAAAAUUAGUAGAUGAGGUUCAACGUAGUUCAGGACCUAUUUUAGCCGCACUUAUGUUCGAUGAGGUGGCUCUUAAAAAAGACAUAAUAUGGGAUGGUAAUAAGGUCUGGGGUUAUGUUGACUUAGGGCAAGGAUGUGAGGAAAAGUGAUGAUAGCCAAAUAGCAAAAGAGGCACUA